AUUGAACGCUGGCGGCAGGCCUAACACAUGCAAGUCGAACGGUAACAGGAAGCAGCUUGCUGCUUUGCUGACGAGUGGCGGACGGGUGAGUAAUGUCUGGGAAACUGCCCGAUGGAGGGGGAUAACUACUGGAAACGGUAGCUAAUACCGCAUAACGUCGCAAGACCAAAGAGGGGGACCUUAGGGCCUCUUGCCAUCGGAUGUGCCCAGAUGGGAUUAGCUAGUAGGUGGGGUAACGGCUCACCUAGGCGACGAUCCCUAGCUGGUCUGAGAGGAUGACCAGCCACACUGGAACUGAGACACGGUCCAGACUCCUACGGGAGGCAGCAGCGGGGAAUAUUGCACAAUGGGCGCAAGCCUGAUGCAGCCAUGCCGCGUGUAUGAAGAAGGCCUUCGGGUUGUAAAGUACUUUCAGCGGGGAGGAAGGGAGUAAAGUUAAUACCUUUGCUCAUUGACGUUACCCGCAGAAGAAGCACCGGCUAACUCCGUG
RNAcentral lists this ribosomal RNA (490 nucleotides) under uncultured bacterium. RNAcentral's name for it is "partial 16S ribosomal RNA". It matches the Rfam family "Bacterial small subunit ribosomal RNA", at positions 30 to 507 of the family's 1533-position model. The record is from RNAcentral.